This 291-nucleotide long non-coding RNA is filed under the name Ananas comosus (pineapple). RNAcentral's name for it is "long non-coding RNA (ACOM_LNC023600)". Lineage: Eukaryota; Viridiplantae; Streptophyta; Magnoliopsida; Poales; Bromeliaceae. The record is from RNAcentral.
CCUUCAUCCCAAUCUCCUAAUAAAUACAGAUGUAUGAGUCCGGCUGGGAUACUAUCGAUAGCACCAAACACUUGGUAUUACCGAGCUUUUCGCCGUUAGAUUUAACCCUGUGACUAUUUUCACCCGUAAGAUUAUACUAUUCAACCAACAACUCACUCAACCCUAGAGAGUCCAUAUCAUCUUAACCAUACAUUUCUUCAUCCAAGGGCCGAAAACCCAAUAGCAUCAACAACUUGGUGAUAUUGAUAGCAUUCCAGCCUAGUUCUAUAUAUAUAUAUAUAUAUAUAUUGA